This 24-nucleotide microRNA is filed under the name Rosa chinensis. RNAcentral describes it as "sRNA RchiOBHm_Chr1g0331565". The record is from RNAcentral. Lineage: Eukaryota; Viridiplantae; Streptophyta; Magnoliopsida; Rosales; Rosaceae.
AACCCGGCGGAUCAUUGAUACCUC